This 409-nucleotide ribosomal RNA is filed under the name Plethodon chlorobryonis (Atlantic coast slimy salamander). RNAcentral's name for it is "partial 12S ribosomal RNA". It matches the Rfam family "Bacterial small subunit ribosomal RNA", at positions 845 to 1434 of the family's 1533-position model. The record is from RNAcentral. Lineage: Eukaryota; Metazoa; Chordata; Amphibia; Caudata; Plethodontidae.
GCUUGUUCUUAAGCUUUUUCCGCCAGAGUAUUACGAGCUACAGCUUAAAACUCAAAGAACUUGGCGGUGCUCUAUACCCACCUAGAGGAGCCUGUUCUAUAAUCGAUACCCCCCGAUAAACCUCACCGCCUCUUGCCAAUACAGCCUAUAUACCACCGUCCUCUGCUUAUCUUCAAAAGAACUAUAAUAAGCAAAAUAAUUUAAAAUAAAAAAGCCAGGUCAAGGUGUAGCACAUGAAGCGGAAAGAAAUGGGCUACAUUUUCUUCCCUAGAAAACACGUUAAGUCCUAUGAAAUAAAACAAAAGGAGGAUUUAGAAGUAAAAAGAAAUAAGAAUGUUCUUUUAAACUAGGCAAUAAAGCACGCACACACCGCCCGUCACCCUCAUUUAAUUAAACAGAAGAGGAAAGU